GCCCCAGUAGAUCAAGGUGGAUCAUCCCUCUCCAAUAACGUGAUCAGGAAAGGUACAGGGAAACUGGAGGUUCGAAUCCUCCCUGCGGCA
This is a non-coding RNA of Mycena galericulata, 90 nucleotides long. The record is from the annotation of a GenBank genome assembly. Lineage: Eukaryota; Fungi; Basidiomycota; Agaricomycetes; Agaricales; Mycenaceae.